Molecule: RNA transcript, 2731 nt
Organism: Oncorhynchus kisutch (coho salmon)
Lineage: Eukaryota; Metazoa; Chordata; Actinopteri; Salmoniformes; Salmonidae
Gene name: mRNA-capping enzyme-like
Exons: 10
Source: RefSeq, a predicted model, not a curated record
GUUGCAAUGUUUUGGAACACGUUUUCAUGUUGAUAUGACGUGUAAAACAAGACGGACUCAAAAUAACGCUAAAGCAUAUACUAAUGCUCAGUGUUUCUAUAGGUACCUCAGCUAAAUGGGGGGCAGGGUUCCCACGGGUCCUUAAAAUCCUUGAAAGUUUGUGAAUUUAAGAAAAAUAAUCAAGGCCUUAAGUUUUUGAAAAUAGACAUUGGUAAUUGAAAGUGCUUGAAUUUAUAUAUUUUGUGCAAGAAUAGAAAUUAAAGUUCUUUAGAUUUCUAUUUAUUUACUUAUCAGUAAUAGGCUAAGUUCCGUUGUCUGCAUGUGUCUCCCACCACCUGUGCGUCCUUGUUUCACGAGCCACCUACUUCGAGAAAGUGCGACCGUUACGUGCAUGAGUGAUUGAGCAAGCGACAAAGCAAGCGACAAAACUGACGUUAAGCGGAACUUCAGCUAUGCCUGGAAAAUGUAAAUUCCAGGACUCGUGGCUCACCAAAGAAAUGUACAAAGACUGGCUUGUUAAAGAUCCGCAAGGCAUCUCUAUGGCCCGAUGCAGAGCCUGCAACAAAUCAAUAAAAGUUCACGCCAUGGGCGACACAGCUGUGACGAGCCAUGCUACUUGAGCAUCAUACAGGACCGCACUCCGCAAGUUAUAAGCAGGUAAAUUCCUGUCAAUAAACUGUUGGGCUCCAAGUAUGAUGUCAAUGUGCCAGAAGAGAACAGGUUUCAUCCAAGCAUGCUCUCCCAAUAUUUAAAGCGUCUCAAGGUUAAAAUGGGUUUGCUUGUUGAUCUAACAAACACUACCGACUUCUACAGAAUGACCCCAACGAGAUCGAGAAUGAGGGUGUUAAAUGUGUGAAGCUUCAGUGCAAAGGGUACGUAUGAGUGACCUGUUUAAAACUCAAGAUUAAUUCUCCAUGUUUACAAAUGCCACUAGUUGAUUGAUCUGAUGUGAUGUGUUUGUUCCUUGUUUAACUAUGGAGAGGGUCCUUCAAUAGAGACUACUGAGAUGUUCAUCAGACUGUGAGCACUUCAUGGAGAAGACUACCACUGAUAGGUGUCCACUGCACGUACGGCUUCAAUCGGACAGGCUUUCUGAUCUGUGCAUACCUGGUGGAGAAGAUGGAUUGGAGGUUACACAUUAGGAGGCUUUGGAAGCAGCGGACACUGCAGAUGUGACAGUCCAGGCCUGGGUAAACUACGGCCCAAGGAGAUGAUUAUCGACAAGGUGAACGGCCAGCCCGUCCCGCACUACCUGAUCUAUGACAUCAUUAAACUCAACGGUAGGCCAGUGUGAUUUCAAUGUUCGGCUAUUGUGAAAAGAGAAAGAGAUCAUCUCCCCUAGGGUGGAGAAGAUGAAGACGGGACAGAUCGACAAGACCAAGGAGCCCUUCAGUGUCAGGAACAAGCCAUUCUUCGACAUCCACGCAUCACGAAAGCUCCUGGAAGGCCGCUUCGUGUCCCCGGUCAGCCAUGAAGUCAACGACCUUAUCUUUCAGCCUUGCGGGUCCUCGAAGGAGCUGAAGCAGUACGACAACAAGAUAAUUGAGUGGUCCUUUAACAACGACACCUGGGUGUUCAUGUGACACAGGGUGGACAAGAGCUUCCCCAACUCCUACGACACACUCUGUGUAACAGCAUCCAGCAUCCUGUCACAAAAGAAAACUUCUGAGUUUCUGGACCGCUGUGCCCUGGGGGCCCACAGACAGAACCGGAAACACCACCAUGACCCAGACACAGAGCUCAUGCCCCGUACUGCUCCAAAGAGACCCAACUGGGCCGCACCAUACAGCGGGGGUGGGCCGGGCCAGUGUAGCAGUGUAUCUAUGUGGCUUGCAGAGCGAGGUCCUUCAUGGCUACAGCCCGCCCCCUUCCUCCCCCUCAGAGACACAGACAUUUGAAAAACCCCUCUUAUCUGUGACCAUUUGAUUAUCAGCCUCUUACAGGCCCUCUUAACUAAAAAAUAUUGGAUUGAAUAACUUAUAGAUCCUGUUAGAUAUCCCCAUGUAGUGCCUUAGCUUUCAUUUCAGUGGUUCUUAUUAAAGAAAAAAUACAUAAUGGUGAAUUUUAUUUAUUUAUUCCCUUUUUUUAACGGUCUCCCAACUAAUCUAUUGAUCAACAACAGAGGAAUUGGUGUUUUAACUACGGCAGCAACUGACUAUGUUUUUCCUAGCUGUUUAUUUGUAUUUGUGAUGGCGGUAAUCAGAUGGGAAACAACCACCUGACCCCUCCUUUCUAUCUUUUCUCUCCCAGCAGUGAAGUGAAGGAAUGCACUAGCGAAUAUUUCAAAGGUAUUGUUUAGUAGCAAGAGAGAGCUAUUCCUCUGAGAUAUUCUUCUGACACACAGUGAUACAUCGGGUUGACAACAUGAAUAACCAUGACAAGAUGUCUCCACAGUAUGUGUGCAACAAACACACUCUGCCUCCACAUGACGUCACAUGACCAUAUCAUCAGACCCCAGAAUAGACUCGGUAACCGCUUGGGAAAUGUCAUGAUGGAAACACGCCUCUCCUUUGUUUUUUCUUCAAUGUGUGUACAGAAUAAUAACAUUUCAACACUUGCUUUAUUUGAACAGAUACCCCAAUUAAGGACUGCCCUAGUUCAUAACAGACUGGUUUACUCCUGCAUUUGUUGUUUGAUUGGAUCCAUUAAAACAAUACAUCAUGUGAAAGGGAAGGUACAGUGGUAAGAAAAAGUAUGUGAACCAUUUGUAAUUUCUGCAUAAAUUGGUCAU